UGAAUGGUGGAACGAGGGCUUAACUGUCUCCCCUUUCAAGUCAAUGAAAUUGAUCUGCCCGUGCAGAAGCGGACAUGUAUUUACAAGACGAGAAGACCCUUUGGAGCUUAAGAUGUAAGAUCAACUAUGUCAAAAACCCAGUUAAACUAAAUAGCACCUGAUCCCAGUCUUCAGUUGGGGCGACCACGGGAGAAAAUAAAGCUCCCACGCGGACCGGGACUCCCCCCAAAACCAAGAGAAACAAUUCUAAGUCGCAGAAUUUCUGACCAAAAGAUCCGGCCACCCGCCGACCAGCGAACCAAGUUACCCUAGGGAUAACAGCGCAAUCCCCUUUCAGAGUCCAUAUCGACAAGGGGGUUUACGACCUCGAUGUUGGAUCAGGACAUCCUAAUGGUGUAG
RNAcentral lists this ribosomal RNA (399 nucleotides) under Noturus miurus (brindled madtom). Its description in RNAcentral is "partial 16S ribosomal RNA". It matches the Rfam family "Bacterial large subunit ribosomal RNA", at positions 1993 to 2558 of the family's 2925-position model. Lineage: Eukaryota; Metazoa; Chordata; Actinopteri; Siluriformes; Ictaluridae. The record is from RNAcentral.